RNAcentral lists this ribosomal RNA (254 nucleotides) under uncultured bacterium. Its description in RNAcentral is "partial 16S ribosomal RNA". It matches the Rfam family "Bacterial small subunit ribosomal RNA", at positions 524 to 776 of the family's 1533-position model. The record is from RNAcentral.
UACGAGAGGUCUCAAGCGUUGUUCGGAUUCAUUGGGCGUAAAGGGUGCGUAGGCGGCGCGGUAAGUCGGGUGUGAAAUCUCGGAGCUUAACUCCGAAACUGCAUUCGAUACUGCCGUGCUUGAGGACUGGAGAGGAGACUGGAAUUUACGGUGAGCGGUGAAAUGCGUAGAUAUCGUGAAGGAAGACCAGUGGCGAAGGCGGGUCUCUGGACAGUUCCUGACGCUGAGGCACGAAGGUCAGGGGAGCAAACGGG